ACCAGACCGACUGUUGCUUUGCAAAUCAUUGCAAACCUCAAAGCUGCAGAGGGAACAUGCCCACAGGACUGUGUGACCUCAGCAUGGGCUACACGGCAGCCACCUGCUGGGAAGAGCGAAGGAGUGUCCAAAUGCUUUGGGUGGCAAAUCAAAGUCAGCUGAACAGCCUGAUUAACCUGCUGGGGAGGUUAGAAGAGGCAGAUGGGUGGCAGCAGAAAGAUUGGACUGAGAGGGAGAGCUAUGUUGGGCUGCUCCUUGAACGAUGCUAGAAAUAACACGUCUGGAUACCUAGGAGGAUCUCAGUCUCUGUGCUGAUCCUUGCAGCACUGUGGUUACUGCACAGCGUGUCUGCAGCACGAGUCAGCUCUGACAGGCAGUGAUGCUUUUCUGCAGUUGCUGGCUUUAAGAGUGCCAAACCUGAAACCUCUGAUCUGGAAUGUGAUUUGCAAAUCCACCCAAGCAGAUACUUCUGGAGAGAUGAAGCACAGUCAAAAGUUGGAUCCAACCUUUUUCCAGAAAUGGGGUUGGAUGUGAGGAAGAUGAGAAGCAUCCUGAGAACAUGGUGCCAUUGUUGCCACGGUUAUGGAACGGUUUGCAGUCUCUGAGAGGGUGAGAACAGUGAGCAGUAUUGUCUGAGGACUGUCCUGACAGUGAUUAUCUCUGAGGCAAAGCAGCAACAGAUUCACAGGGAACUGCUGAAUUUUUAAUAGACUUCAGUUUAUUAUUGAAGUAUGGCAAUGGAGCAAACAGUCCCUGUUGCACCACAGCAGAAAGCCUGGCCAGGGUUGCUGCCUCCAGAAACUGCUCUGUGGCUCGGUGUGAGCGUGCACACAUGAAAGUCUCAGUGCAACGUGGAGAUCAAGAGGAUCAAGGUGUUCCAGCUUUUCAUCCUCAGUGCUGGUGCAGAAAAGCUUCCAGCUUUGCUGUUCGCCUUCGUUACCUGCAGUGAGCGGGGGCAGGCGGUGCGCAGUGCGGCCGGGCCGGGCCGUUUCGGGGAUUUGGGGCUGCAGCCUGGGUCCUGCUCCACAGCCGUGAGCUCUGCGGAGGAGUGAGGAUGGAGUCUGCCAGAGGCCCGCAGCUGCACCAGGAGGGAAGGCAACUCCCAUCGCCAGCAGAGGAUCUGUGGGUGCCUCGGCACCCUGUCUGUGAGGAGGAGCUCCCAGUGCUGCCUCUGAAGCUGUGCUGUGGAUCCCAGUGAAGCAGUGCUAACAUGAGCCUUACGCAGUGCAGAGACUGGCUGCUACUGGGCCAUCGCCGGGCUGAAAACGCCCUUAGCACCUUUGAAAAGCAACCAGUAGAACAUUUUUAUUGUCUGAUAACCAAGCAAUUAACUCGUGUCACAACUGUAUAGUGUUUCUUUUGCCAUAAUAUGGAGCUUUUAAGAAGAAAAUUAAACCUGCCAAGCAUCAUUACAUGAUAAGCCUACCAAGCAAGCAACUAUUCAGAUUUCAGUGGCCUUGACUGAAGAACCUGGGAAAGUUCAGACAACUGGAAAAUGUAAGCAUCUGGCCAGACUCCAGAUAAUUUACCAGUACAUUAGAGGUAAUUUUUUGCUGGGUUCAUGUAUACCUGGUGAUUCCUAUUCAACUAUGGAAAUUUUUCUUGUUCUUGUAUACAUCCUCAUUACACGCAACUGACACGUUAGACACCAAGCUACAGCCUGUUGCUCCUGCUGCUUCUGAUCAGAAACCUGACAUCUUACUGAAAUGGAAGUGAAAACGUGGAAGGCUUUGGAAGAUCUGGGUAGGAAUCCUAUGGAGUGCAUUAGCAUUUGGUGAGCUGGGCACAAGAAUUACUCAGGAAAUUAAAAGGAGGAUGUUAUUUUGAGGUGAUAAAACAUUAAAAUAUGGAACUUGCAUUUGAGUCAGAUCCAGACUUAAUUUUCCCUUUUUAAGCUGUAGCUUAUGAAAAUCCUGAUUCUAUGCCAGUAACGAGUGAAGUCUUUGGGAUAUUGCAAGAGGGAGAAGAGAACAAAUUUGAUGGUGCUGGUGUUGGGCUUCUCAGUGACAUUUUGAUGAAAUGAAAAAUGCUGAAACAAGUCAAAGGACAGGGAAGGUGGCAGGGUAGCUGAAACAAAACGGCAGGCAAGCCUACUUACAUGACACGUUAAUUAAGGUGAUGUAGUUGUAGCUAUCCUUGCUGCAGUGGGUCACUGAGCAAGGAGGAAGCAGUGGGACGGCUACAGCCUCUUUGAUAAUGAAUUCAUUUUGAUAGGCUCCCGCUGACACCUACAAACGUUUCUCUGACGGAGUCAGCCUUUCAGAAGAGCUAAAUUCUCAACAGCACAGCUUUGGCUUAGGUGGUCCUGCUGCCAUACCAGCUGGGGGGACGUAAUGAUUUUGAGAUACCAUUCUCUUUUUUUCGGGAAACAAAGUGGAUGCAAAGUAAAAAUUCAUCCCUCAGUUUGCUGCAUAGACCAGCUCUAAUAUGAAGGUCUUGAACUUACAAAAUAGCAAUACAGAUCCUUCCCAUGUUCGCCAGCUUCAUGUAGUUUCCAGGCUGACUCAAGUUGUCCCAAGAGGCUGAGGAGGACCGUCCCCUGGAGUCCAUCUUCAAGGGAACUAGGGUUUACAAAAAGGUCUGUAUUUUGCUGCAAGUACCAGAAAAAAAGAUGUGGGCAUGAAACCUGUAAGGAGGCACUGUGCAGAUGUCUUCCUGGGGCCGCUGGAAGGAGGAACACCCCAAGUCUCCAGCUACAGCCCUGUGGUCCCAGGGCUGUGCUGUGCUGGGCGCAGCUCACGGAUCGCUGCGUGGUGCUGUUGUGAGGCCUUGGCUGCUGGUGAAAUACAAACCAACCUUUUUUUUUUUUUUUUUAAUUAGAUGCAUUUAGCUCUGCUGUGGCCUGUUGGAAAUAUGUGUAAAGAGAUUUAACAAAGUCUUCUGUAAAGGCAGAAAAAAUAAAAUAUCCUUAGUGAAAUACAAAACCCUCAAGUCUUUGC
This is a non-coding RNA of Anas platyrhynchos (mallard), 2939 nucleotides long. Lineage: Eukaryota; Metazoa; Chordata; Aves; Anseriformes; Anatidae. The record is from RefSeq and is a predicted model, not a curated record.